AGCAGCCGCGGUAAUUCCAGCUCCAAUAGCGUAUAUUAAAGUUGUUGCAGUUAAAAAGCUCGUAGUUGAAUUUCGGGGUCAGUAGGUCGGUCGUGCCACUGGUAUGAACUGGUCUCACUGAUUCCUCCUUCUUGAAGAACCGUAAUGUCAUUAACUUGGUGUUGCGGGGAAACAGGACUGUUACCUUGAAAAAAUUAGAGUGUUUAAAGCAGGCUAGCGCCUGAAUACAUUAGCAUGGAAUAAUGAAAUAGGACGUUCGAUCCUAUUUUGUUGGUUUCUAGGAUUGACGUAAUGAUUAAUAGGGAUAGUUGGGGGCAUUAGUAUUCAAUUGUCAGAGGUGAAAUUCUUGGAUUUAUUGAAGACUGACUACUGCGAAAGCAUUUGCCAAGGAUGUUUUCAUUAAUCAAGAACGAAAGUUAGGGGAUCGAAGACGAUCAGAUACCGUCGUAG
Molecule: ribosomal RNA, 450 nt
Filed under: uncultured Glomeromycotina
Lineage: Eukaryota; Fungi; Glomeromycota
Description: SSU rRNA
Rfam family: Eukaryotic small subunit ribosomal RNA
Source: RNAcentral